RNAcentral lists this transfer RNA (69 nucleotides) under Eboraphyllus middletoni. RNAcentral's name for it is "tRNA-Val". The record is from RNAcentral. Lineage: Eukaryota; Metazoa; Arthropoda; Insecta; Coleoptera; Cerambycidae.
CAAGUUAAAGCUUUAAUUAAGCAUUUUAUUUACAUUAAAAAGUUAAUUGUGAGAAUCAAUUUGGCUUGA